UGUAGUGAGGAGACUGUGCUUGUUACAAUGGCCUCAGAGGUAUAGCUAUGAGUCAGCAGCUGUAUUGCCUCCAAAUACAUCUGCAGUAUACAACAUCAUGGGACUGAACUUUAUAAAACCUUGUAAAUGUGAGAGCACCCUCCACCAAGAUGGGAAUCGGGAUGUCCUUGUUAGUUCUGGAUCCUAUUUCUUCAUGUCCAACAUUAAUGGUGAAGGGGAGGAAUGGAUGAAGACCCUCAACAAGGUGGUGUGGCUUCCAUUCACUGACCUCUAAGCAUAUAUCCGGAGAUGUCGCCUAGGACCAGCACAAAACCAGAUCAACAAUGCUACUCAACCAUCGUUUAAAAUUGUUUUCACCCACCACAAGCUCUACAUCACACACCCAGACUGGUGACCGUGCAUUGUAUUAUUGUGGGGCAGAUAAUGUCUGUUAUUAUUUGGUUUGCAAAACCAUUUGUAUAAUUUCUCUCCGUGUUUUACACAUUGGUGUGUGUUGCAGGAGGUUUAUGGUUUGGUCACCAGACCAGGAAUUACAAAA
Molecule: long non-coding RNA, 538 nt
Organism: Polyodon spathula (Mississippi paddlefish)
Lineage: Eukaryota; Metazoa; Chordata; Actinopteri; Acipenseriformes; Polyodontidae
Exons: 3
Source: RefSeq, a predicted model, not a curated record